CAGGAUUAGAUACCCUGGUAGUCCACGCUGUAAACGAUGUCGACUUGGAGGUUGUGCCCUUGAGGCGUGGCUUCCGGAGCUAACGCGUUAAGUCGACCGCCUGGGGAGUACGGCCGCAAGGUUAAAACUCAAAUGAAUUGACGGGGGCCCGCACAAGCGGUGGAGCAUGUGGUUUAAUUCGAUGCAACGCGAAGAACCUUACCUACUCUUGACAUCCACGGAAUUCGCCAGAGAUGGCUUAGUGCCUUCGGGAACCGUGAGACAGGUGCUGCAUGGCUGUCGUCAGCUCGUGUUGUGAAAUGUUGGGUUAAGUCCCGCAACGAGCGCAACCCUUAUCCUUUGUUGCCAGCACGUAAUGGUGGGAACUCAAAGGAGACUGCCGGUGAUAAACCGGAGGAAGGUGGGGAUGACGUCAAGUCAUCAUGGCCCUUACGAGUAGGGCUACACACGUGCUACAAUGGCAUAUACAAAGAGAAGCGAACUCGCGAGAGCAAGCGGACCUCAUAAAGUAUGUCGUAGUCCGGAUUGGAGUCUGCAACUCGACUCCAUGAAGUCGGAAUCGCUAGUAAUCGUAGAUCAGAAUGCUACGGUGAAUACGUUCCCGGGCCUUGUACACACCGCCCGUCACACCAUGGGAGUGGGUUGCAAAAGAAGUAGGUAGCUUAACCUUCGGGAGGGCGCUUACCACUUUGUGAUUCAUGACUGGGGUGAAAGUCGUAACAAGGUAACC
RNAcentral lists this ribosomal RNA (730 nucleotides) under uncultured bacterium. RNAcentral's name for it is "bacterial SSU rRNA". It matches the Rfam family "Bacterial small subunit ribosomal RNA", at positions 773 to 1501 of the family's 1533-position model. The record is from RNAcentral.